UCCCAGUUGGUGAAAUGGUCAGGUGACCAAAUACAUUUGUCCAUAAAGUGUACCAAGAAGAGAAAUAGGCUGGACCACCUCUCUGAUGCACAGCUCCAGGUCGAGAAGGUAGUCCUUUUCAGUCUGCACCAGCUCCUGAAUGACCUUUGCCCUGCGGUUCAUCUUCCUCUGACGGAUCUCCUCUGGGUCCAGUGCUGGCGAGGGCGGCGUGGACAGGUCAUGUGGUGUCAUUUUCUCUGGUGUGCAAAGAGACCUCAAGAAUGAAUGGAAACCUCCACCCGUGAGAAAUGUCACCUUGAUGAGGCCUCAUUUGGAUCCAUGGCGAGGCCGUGAGCUCUCAGGUGCUCUCGGGCCAGUUGAGGGAAAAGAGAAAGGGAAGAGAGGGGG
Cheilinus undulatus (humphead wrasse) is the source of this 387-nucleotide long non-coding RNA. RefSeq lists it as uncharacterized. The transcript is spliced from 4 exons. The record is from RefSeq and is a predicted model, not a curated record. Lineage: Eukaryota; Metazoa; Chordata; Actinopteri; Labriformes; Labridae.